This 302-nucleotide ribosomal RNA is filed under the name uncultured bacterium. RNAcentral's name for it is "partial 16S ribosomal RNA". It matches the Rfam family "Bacterial small subunit ribosomal RNA", at positions 508 to 807 of the family's 1533-position model. The record is from RNAcentral.
GCAGUCGCCGCGGUAAUACGUAGGUGGCAAGCGUUGUCUGGAAUUAUUGGGCGUAAAGCGCGCGCAGGCGGUUUCUUAAGUCUGAUGUGAAAGCCCCCGGCUCAACCGGGGAGGGUCAUUGGAAACUGGGAAACUUGAGUGCAGAAGAGGAGAGUGGAAUUCCGCGUGUAGCGGUGAAAUGCGUAGAGACGUGGAGGAACACCAGUGGCGAAGGCGACUCUCUGGUCUGUAACUGACGCUGAGGAGCGAAAGCGUGGGGAGCGAACAGGAUUAGAGACCCGCGUAGUCCCUGUCUCUUAUAC